Molecule: ribosomal RNA, 422 nt
Filed under: uncultured bacterium
Lineage: Bacteria
Description: bacterial SSU rRNA
Rfam family: Bacterial small subunit ribosomal RNA
Source: RNAcentral
UGAGGAAUAUUGGGCAAUGCCCGCAAGGGUGACCCAGCAACGCCGCGUGGAGGAUGAAUGUCGUAAGAUUGUAAACUCCUGUUAGAGGGGAAGAAUAGUACCGGUUGGACCGGUAUAUGACUGUACCCUCAGAGAAAGCCCCGGCUAACUACGUGCCAGCAGCCGCGGUAAUACGUAGGGGGCAAGCGUUGUCCGGAUUUACUGGGUGUAAAGGGCGCGCAGGCGGGAUAAAAAGUCAGUGGUGAAAUCCUACAGCCUAACUGUAGAACUGCCUUUGAUACUUUUAUUCUUGAGUUCGGGAGAGAGAGACGGAAUUCCAGGUGUAGUGGUGAAAUACGUAGAUAUCUGGAAGAACACCAGUUGCGAAGGCGGUCUCUUGGUCCGACACUGACGCUGAGGCGCGAAAGCGUGGGGAGCGAACA